Molecule: ribosomal RNA, 478 nt
Filed under: uncultured bacterium
Lineage: Bacteria
Description: partial 16S ribosomal RNA
Rfam family: Bacterial small subunit ribosomal RNA
Source: RNAcentral
GACGAACGCUGGCGGCGUGCUUAACACAUGCAAGUCGAACGGUAAGGCCCUUCGGGGUACACGAGUGGCGAACGGGUGAGUAACACGUGGGUGAUCUGCCCUGCACUUCGGGAUAAGCCUGGGAAACUGGGUCUAAUACCGGAUAGGACCACUGCCUGCAUGGGUGGUGGUGGAAAGCUUUUGCGGUGUGGGAUGGGCCCGCGGCCUAUCAGCUUGUUGGUGGGGUGAUGGCCUACCAAGGCGACGACGGGUAGCCGGCCUGAGAGGGUGACCAGCAACACGGGGAAUGGGAUACGGCCCAGACUCCUACGGGAGGCAGCAGUGGGGAAUAUUGCACAAUGGGCGCAAGCCUGAUGCAGCGACGCCGCGUGAGGGAUGACGGCCUUCGGGUUGUAAACCUCUUUCAGCACCGACGAAGCGCAAGUGACGGUAGGUGCAGAAGAAGGACCGGCCAACUACGUGCCAGCCGCCGCCGUAA